RNAcentral lists this ribosomal RNA (433 nucleotides) under uncultured bacterium. Its description in RNAcentral is "partial 16S ribosomal RNA". It matches the Rfam family "Bacterial small subunit ribosomal RNA", at positions 29 to 507 of the family's 1533-position model. The record is from RNAcentral.
AACGAACGCUGGCGGCAUGCCUAACACAUGCAAGUCGAACGAGACCUUCGGGUCUAGUGGCGCACGGGUGCGUAACGCGUGGGAACCUGCCCUUAGGUUCGGAAUAACUCCCCGAAAGGGGUGCUAAUACCGGAUAUUGUCUUCGGACCAAAGAUUUAUCGCCUUUGGAUGGGCCCGCGUUGGAUUAGCUAGUUGGUAGGGUAAAAGGCUACCAAGGCGACGAUCCAUAGCUGGUUUGAGAGGAUGAUCAGCCACACUGGGACUGAGACACGGCCCAGACUCCUACGGGAGGCAGCAGUGGGGAAUAUUGGACAAUGGGCGAAAGCCUGAUCCAGCAAUGCCGCGUGAGUGAUGAAGGCCUUAGGGUUGUAAAGCUCUUUUACCCGGGAUGAUAAUGACGGUACCGGGAGAAUAAGCUCCGGCUAAGUCCGUG